This is a small nucleolar RNA of Callithrix jacchus (white-tufted-ear marmoset), 78 nucleotides long. Its record names the gene SNORD83. It matches the Rfam family "Small nucleolar RNA SNORD83". Rfam says of the family: U83 (SNORD83) and U84 (SNORD84) are members of the C/D class of snoRNA which contain the C (UGAUGA) and D (CUGA) box motifs. The record is from Ensembl. NCBI's taxonomy places the organism in Eukaryota, Metazoa, Chordata, Mammalia, Primates, Cebidae.
GCCAUAUGAUGUUUUCCUUUCGAAAGGUGAGCGCUUUGCGCAGUGAUGACCCUCAUCUAUCACCCUUGACUGAUGGCU